GUCCUGGCCCUAAACGAUGCGCACUAGAUAGCGGCUCGUUCCGACGAGCCGCUGUCGGAGCAAAGCAUUAAGUGCGCCGCCUGGGAGUACGGCCGCAAGGUUAAAACUCAAAGGAAUUGACGGGGCUCACACAAGCGGUGGAGGAUGUUGCUCAAUUCGAAGCAACGCGAAGAACCUUACCAGGACUUGACAUGCUCGUAGUAGGAGCCGGAAACGGUGACGACCUCCGCAAGGGAGGGCGAGCACAGGUGUUGCAUGGCUGUCGU
Molecule: ribosomal RNA, 266 nt
Filed under: uncultured bacterium
Lineage: Bacteria
Description: partial 16S ribosomal RNA
Rfam family: Bacterial small subunit ribosomal RNA
Source: RNAcentral